RNAcentral lists this small nuclear RNA (102 nucleotides) under Mus pahari (shrew mouse). The record is from RNAcentral. Lineage: Eukaryota; Metazoa; Chordata; Mammalia; Rodentia; Muridae.
GCUCGCUUCGGCAGCACAUAUACUAAAACUGGAAUGGUACAGAGAUUAGCAUGGCCUCUGUGUAAGGAUGGCAUGCAAAUUCAUAAUGUGUUCCAUAUUUUU